This 460-nucleotide ribosomal RNA is filed under the name uncultured bacterium. RNAcentral describes it as "bacterial SSU rRNA". It matches the Rfam family "Bacterial small subunit ribosomal RNA", at positions 338 to 795 of the family's 1533-position model. The record is from RNAcentral.
CCUANGGGAGGCAGCAGUAAGGAAUAUUGGACAAUGGGCGCAAGCCUGAUCCAGCCAUGCCGCGUGCAGGAUGAAGGUGCUCUGCAUUGUAAACUGCUUUUGUUUGGGAAUAAACCCCUCUACGUGUAGAGGGCUGAAUGUACCAAAAGAAUAAGGGACGGCUAACUUCGUGCCAGCAGCCGCGGUAAUACGAAGGUCCCAAGCGUUAUCCGGAUUUAUUGGGUUUAAAGGGUGCGUAGGCGGGUUAUUAAGUCAGUGGUGAAAGCCUUCAGCUUAACUGAAGAAUUGCCAUUGAUACUGAUGAUCUUGAGUAUGAUUGAGGUGGGCGGAAUGUGUCAUGUAGCGGUGAAAUGCUUAGAUAUGACACAGAACACCGAUUGCGAAGGCAGCUCACUAAGCCAUAACUGACGCUGAUGCACGAAAGCGUGGGGAGCAAACAGGAUUAGAUACCCGGNUANUC